GUGGGGAAUUUUGGACAAUGGGCGCAAGCCUGAUCCAGCAAUGCCGCGUGCAGGAUGAAGGCCUUCGGGUUGUAAACUGCUUUUGUACGGAACGAAAAGCCCUGGGUUAAUACCCUGGGGUCAUGACGGUACCGUAAGAAUAAGCACCGGCUAACUACGUGCCAGCAGCCGCGGUAAUACGUAGGGUGCGAGCGUUAAUCGGAAUUACUGGGCGUAAAGCGUGCGCAGGCGGUUUUGUAAGACAGAGGUGAAAUCCCCGGGCUCAACCUGGGAACUGCCUUUGUGACUGCAAGGCUAGAGUACGGCAGAGGGGGAUGGAAUUCCGCGUGUAGCAGUGAAAUGCGUAGAUAUGCGGAGGAACACCGAUGGCGAAGGCAAUCCCCUGGGCCUGCACUGACGCUCAUGCACGAAAGCGUGGGGAGCAAACAGGAUUAGAUACCCGUGUAGUCC
RNAcentral lists this ribosomal RNA (450 nucleotides) under uncultured bacterium. RNAcentral's name for it is "partial 16S ribosomal RNA". It matches the Rfam family "Bacterial small subunit ribosomal RNA", at positions 354 to 796 of the family's 1533-position model. The record is from RNAcentral.